Non-coding RNA from Podarcis lilfordi (Lilford's wall lizard), 74 nucleotides. Lineage: Eukaryota; Metazoa; Chordata; Lepidosauria; Squamata; Lacertidae. The record is from the annotation of a GenBank genome assembly.
GCCUGGAUAGCUCAGUUGGUUAGAGUGUGGUGUUGAUAAUGCCAAGGUUGCAGGAUCAAUCCCCGCAUGGGAUA